AUUGAACGCUGGCGGCAGGCCUAACACAUGCAAGUCGAGCGGACGAAGGGAGCUUGCUCCUGGAUUCAGCGGCGGACGGGUGAGUAAUGCCUAGGAAUCUGCCUGGUAGUGGGGGAUAACGUCCGGAAACGGGCGCUAAUACCGCAUACGUCCUGAGGGAGAAAGGGGGGGAUCUUCGGACCUCACGCUAUCAGAUGAGCCUAGGUCGGAUUAGCUAGUUGGUGGGGUAAAGGCCUACCAAGGCGACGAUCCGUAACUGGUCUGAGAGGAUGAUCAGUCACACUGGAACUGAGACACGGUCCAGACUCCUACGGGAGGCAGCAGUGGGGAAUAUUGGACAAUGGGCGAAAGCCUGAUCCAGCCAUGCCGCGUGUGUGAAGAAGGUCUUCGGAUCGUAAAGCACUUUAAGUUGGGAGGAAGGGCAGUAAGUUAAUACCUUGCUGUCUUGACGUUACCAACAGAAUAAGCACCGGCUAACUUCGUG
This 484-nucleotide ribosomal RNA is filed under the name uncultured bacterium. Its description in RNAcentral is "partial 16S ribosomal RNA". It matches the Rfam family "Bacterial small subunit ribosomal RNA", at positions 30 to 507 of the family's 1533-position model. The record is from RNAcentral.